Molecule: transfer RNA, 73 nt
Filed under: Eubacterium sp.
Lineage: Bacteria; Bacillati; Bacillota; Clostridia; Eubacteriales; Eubacteriaceae
Also listed under: 1 other name
Description: tRNA-His
Rfam family: tRNA
About the family: Transfer RNA (tRNA) molecules are approximately 80 nucleotides in length. Their secondary structure includes four short double-helical elements and three loops (D, anti-codon, and T loops).
Source: RNAcentral
GUGGGUAUAGCGCAGUUGGUAGAGCGUCAGAUUGUGGCUCUGAAGGUCCAGGGUUCGAGCCCCUGUACUCACC